Molecule: transfer RNA, 72 nt
Filed under: Chrysotila carterae
Lineage: Eukaryota; Haptophyta; Isochrysidales; Isochrysidaceae
Description: tRNA-Val
Rfam family: tRNA
About the family: Transfer RNA (tRNA) molecules are approximately 80 nucleotides in length. Their secondary structure includes four short double-helical elements and three loops (D, anti-codon, and T loops). Further hydrogen bonds mediate the characteristic L-shaped molecular structure. tRNAs have two regions of fundamental functional importance: the anti-codon, which is responsible for specific mRNA codon recognition, and the 3' end, to which the tRNAs corresponding amino acid is attached (by aminoacyl-tRNA synthetases). tRNAs cope with the degeneracy of the genetic code in two manners: having more than one tRNA (with a specific anti-codon) for a particular amino acid; and 'wobble' base-pairing, i.e. permitting non-standard base-pairing at the 3rd anti-codon position.
Source: RNAcentral
GGGCGGUUAGCUCAGUGGUAGAGCGCCUGCCUUACAAGCAGGUGGCCAUAGGUUCGAAUCCUAUACCGCCCA